RNAcentral lists this transfer RNA (87 nucleotides) under Terriglobia bacterium. RNAcentral's name for it is "tRNA-Leu". It matches the Rfam family "tRNA". From Rfam's summary of the family: Transfer RNA (tRNA) molecules are approximately 80 nucleotides in length. Their secondary structure includes four short double-helical elements and three loops (D, anti-codon, and T loops). Further hydrogen bonds mediate the characteristic L-shaped molecular structure. tRNAs have two regions of fundamental functional importance: the anti-codon, which is responsible for specific mRNA codon recognition, and the 3' end, to which the tRNAs corresponding amino acid is attached (by aminoacyl-tRNA synthetases). tRNAs cope with the degeneracy of the genetic code in two manners: having more than one tRNA (with a specific anti-codon) for a particular amino acid; and 'wobble' base-pairing, i.e. permitting non-standard base-pairing at the 3rd anti-codon position. Lineage: Bacteria; Pseudomonadati; Acidobacteriota; Terriglobia. RNAcentral also lists the same sequence under 1 other name. The record is from RNAcentral.
GCCGAAGUGGCGGAAUUGGCAGACGCGCUACAUUCAGGGUGUAGUCCUCUACGGGGGGUCGGGGUUCAAGUCCCCGCUUCGGCACCA